GCAGGUCUUGGCCGGACCACCAUUGUCAGCGGCUGCGGUUCAAAGUGGGUUUGGGUAUUGCUGCGGCUGGCGAGGCGCCGCUCUAGUCUUGUCUGCAGAUCUGUACAGACCACAUCCUAAGAUUGACUUCUGCCUCAACAGAAAUACAUGAGCCAGUGCCUUAAUGGAAAUGAUUUGCGUGUUUUAAGAACUGGUGUAUAUACGUACAUCUUGAAUGUUGUGCUUUCCUUGCCAUAUGCCUGUACUUCACCUCAGCCUUAAAUUCCAUUGUUUCCUUGCUACUUGAUAUCUUGAAAUCUGGUACGAAACUGUUGCAUGAUCCCUGCAUCUUUGCUUGUGCAUAUAUCAUAGUUCUCUUAUAGUGAGUGUGCACAAUCUAUUUCAUUUUAUGUAAUCAAAGUUUAAUAUAUUGGAUAGUUAAAAAUAAAAUAUAACUUUAAAUGC
Molecule: long non-coding RNA, 444 nt
Organism: Piliocolobus tephrosceles (Ugandan red Colobus)
Lineage: Eukaryota; Metazoa; Chordata; Mammalia; Primates; Cercopithecidae
Exons: 2
Source: RefSeq, a predicted model, not a curated record